RNAcentral lists this ribosomal RNA (265 nucleotides) under uncultured bacterium. Its description in RNAcentral is "partial 16S ribosomal RNA". It matches the Rfam family "Bacterial small subunit ribosomal RNA", at positions 793 to 1055 of the family's 1533-position model. The record is from RNAcentral.
GUCCACGCCGUAAAACGAUGUCAACUAGCCGUUGGAAGCCUUGAGCUUUUAGUGGCGCAGCUAACGCAUUAAGUUGACCGCCUGGGGAGUACGGCCGCAAGGUUAAAACUCAAAUGAAUUGACGGGGGGCCCGCACAAGCGGUGGAGCAUGUGGUUUAAUUCGAAGCAACGCGAAGAACCUUACCAGGCCUUGACAUCCAAUGAACUUUCCAGAGAUGGAUUGGUGCCUUCGGGAACAUUGAGACAGGUGCUGCAUGGCUGUCGU